RNAcentral lists this ribosomal RNA (466 nucleotides) under uncultured bacterium. RNAcentral describes it as "partial 16S ribosomal RNA". It matches the Rfam family "Bacterial small subunit ribosomal RNA", at positions 28 to 507 of the family's 1533-position model. The record is from RNAcentral.
GACGAACGCUGGCGGCGCGCCUAACACAUGCAAGUCGAACGAGCGAGCGAGAGCUUGCUUUCUUGAGCGAGUGGCGAACGGGUGAGUAACGCGUGAGGAACCUGCCUCAAAGAGGGGGACAACAGUUGGAAACGACUGCUAAUACCGCAUAAGCCCACGACCCGGCAUCGGGUUGAGGGAAAAGGAGCAAUCCGCUUUGAGAUGGCCUCGCGUCCGAUUAGCUAGUUGGUGAGGUAACGGCCCACCAAGGCGACGAUCGGUAGCCGGACUGAGAGGUUGAACGGCCACAGUGGGACUGAGACACGGCCCAGACUCCUACGGGAGGCAGCAGUGGGGAAUAUUGCACAAUGGGGGAAACCCUGAUGCAGCGACGCCGCGUGGAGGAAGAAGGUCUUCGGAUUGUAAACUCCUGUUGUUGAGGAAGAUAAUGACGGUACUCAACAAGGAAGUGACGGCUAACUACGUG